RNAcentral lists this ribosomal RNA (253 nucleotides) under uncultured bacterium. RNAcentral describes it as "partial 16S ribosomal RNA". It matches the Rfam family "Bacterial small subunit ribosomal RNA", at positions 524 to 776 of the family's 1533-position model. The record is from RNAcentral.
UACGUAGGGUGCGAGCGUUGUCCGGAAUUACUGGGCGUAAAGAGCUCGUAGGUGGUUUGUCGCGUUGUCCGUGAAAACUCACAGCUUAACUGUGGGCGUGCGGGCGAUACGGGCAGACUGGAGUACUGCAGGGGAGACUGGAAUUCCUGGUGUAGCGGUGGAAUGCGCAGAUAUCAGGAGGAACACCGGUGGCGAAGGCGGAUCUCUGGGCCUUACCUGACGCUCAGGCGCGAAAGCUAGGGGAGCGAACAGG